UUAAUUUUUACAAAAAUCUUCUCUUCUGAAACUACUGGCAAAAUUAAAGCAAACAUGGCCAAAAUCAUCCUUAGGGUAUUUAGUUUCAAAAAAGUAUCCGAUGACCCCGCCCAAUAAUUAAGAUGGCCGCAAUGUCUAAAAGAAGAGCAUCGCAUAAAAUGUAGAUUUUGGCUUAUAUAUCUGAAACAAAACCAUAGAGACAAUCUAACAAGGGAUAAGAACAUUUCGCCUCAUAAAAUAAUGUGGACCAGUCAGAACUUUUCAUGUGGGACAAUAUGAGCUCUUAAUUUAAAAAAAAGUGGGACAAUCGGGAAUAAGCCCUACAGACUUGAGCAAUUCUAAAAUAAACACUGUUGAUGUAUCUCUUUUAAAUUUUCUAUUAAAAAGUGUUUUACAUUUACGAAUGCACUAUAUUGUAUCUGUAUCUAAAAUAUUAAACGCAUUUAUUUCGUGAUAGAAAUUAAGUAAAUGCUUAAGUAACCAUUUUAUUACUUUUCCCCCUCUUUUCGAGUUUGUCAAAC
RNAcentral lists this long non-coding RNA (521 nucleotides) under Mytilus galloprovincialis (Mediterranean mussel). Lineage: Eukaryota; Metazoa; Mollusca; Bivalvia; Mytilida; Mytilidae. The record is from RNAcentral.